Molecule: long non-coding RNA, 859 nt
Filed under: Hordeum vulgare
Lineage: Eukaryota; Viridiplantae; Streptophyta; Magnoliopsida; Poales; Poaceae
Description: long non-coding RNA (HVUL_LNC012505)
Source: RNAcentral
CCCAAACCGACGCACUCCAACGAGGGCCUGGCACCCCCAUCAGGCCGACCUCCCAUAACGAUGGCCACGCCAGACUGCCAAACAGAGACAUUGAGCAGUUCCACCUCACCGGAGACACCACACAUCGCCAUCGACCCACACUGACACAACCCUCACCGCCAUUGGUCGACACAUGCCAGAUCUGUGCAGAGCCCGCACCGCCGUCAAACACCACCACCAACAUGACCCAACACCCUCCACGCCUCCUAUCACGAAGCAGAUGGACAUGCCGGCUUCGUCGGUGCCUAUGUGUAGCCAUGCCACGACGCCCGACCACCGCAUUGUGUCCGGCUCGUCAGAGCCGCCCCGCACUGGCCCAACACGCAAGGAUAAGAGGUCACCCCGCAGCCACCGGCUCUAGCCGAUCUUUCCCCGACUAAGCACGCUGGCGGUGGCGAGUGAGGGGGAGGAGGAGGAGGAGUGCCCUAUGGAGACGCGUUAGAGUUCCCUCCCCAUCACCUCGCCGGGAACAACAAGGGAGUGGAUGGGGGAUUUUUCCUGGUCCCCAUUGAAUUCACACAACGAGCACCAAUGAUGCUCAUUAACCUCCUCCACCUAGUCUUUCCUCUCAGUCUCGUCUCCCGUUUCUUGCUACACCGGCAUCACCACCGGUGUGCUCCUCUCGUCCUCCUCUCUCGCACGUUGUGGACUAGCGCCAUCGUCGGAGUCGUUCCUCUCAACCUACUCUCUCGGGUGUUAAUACACUCACACGGUCGGCGUUCCUCUUUGCCUUCUCUCCUAUGUCCUGUUAGACUCAAGCCAUCGCGGGCAUCUCUCGGCCUCCUUGACCGCGUCCUACUACAUUAGCAUUGUCGCCAUC